GUCGGGAUGGUUGGACAUUCAGUGUUGCGAAUUCGGUCAGGUUUGGAAAAAAGCAGCCGUAGCAAAUACCUGGUGGGUCAAUUAUCCCUAUGAG
Molecule: signal recognition particle RNA, 94 nt
Filed under: Holosporaceae bacterium
Lineage: Bacteria; Pseudomonadati; Pseudomonadota; Alphaproteobacteria; Holosporales; Holosporaceae
Description: signal recognition particle sRNA small type
Rfam family: Bacterial small signal recognition particle RNA
About the family: The signal recognition particle (SRP) is a universally conserved ribonucleoprotein involved in the co-translational targeting of proteins to membranes. Archaeal SRP consists of a 7S RNA and homologues of the eukaryotic SRP19 and SRP54 proteins.
Source: RNAcentral